RNAcentral lists this ribosomal RNA (253 nucleotides) under uncultured bacterium. RNAcentral's name for it is "partial 16S ribosomal RNA". It matches the Rfam family "Bacterial small subunit ribosomal RNA", at positions 524 to 776 of the family's 1533-position model. The record is from RNAcentral.
UACAGAGGGGGCAAGCGUUGUUCGGAAUUACUGGGCGUAAAGGGCGCGUAGGCGGCCCGCUAAGUCGAACGUGAAAUCCCCAGGCUUAACCUGGGAACUGCGUCCGAUACUGGCAGGCUUGAAUCCGGGAGAGGGAUGUGGAAUUCCAGGUGUAGCGGUGAAAUGCGUAGAUAUCUGGAGGAACACCGGUGGCGAAGGCGGCAUCCUGGACCGGUAUUGACGCUGAGGCGCGAAAGCCAGGGGAGCAAACGGG